GCUUUCAUAUUAAUUUUUUUUGGAUUUUUUUUAGAACAUACAACACAAUAGCUGAAAAUUAAGAAAGCUAAAAAAUAAAAGCUAAAAAGAAAAAUAGAACCAACCCAACGCAAUAGCCGGUUUACCAAAACCGGAACAGACCACGAAACCCUAAAACACCGCAAGAAGAGCAAAGGAGAUGACGGCCGCCACCGAAUUGAAUCCGCCGGAACCUUCCUCCGAAAAGGCGCCACGUUAACCGCGAUUCAUCGCCUAAAGCCGGAGCAUCGUAGCCAAACAAGCCGAGAGAUGAAGCACUUUCGUCAGCAAGGAAACCGGCGAAGCAUAGGGUGAUAGAUAUCACCGGACACAACAGAGAGACUCGUUUUUGGAGAGAAACUGAAAAAAAAAACAGAGAGCACAAAAGGGAAAAGGAAACCACCGAAGCUGAAAGGUAUCGCCGGCUUAGAUUUCGAGAUCCGGAAAGGAGACACAACGAAGGGUAGAGGAGAGGAGAUACAGAGAGGGAGCCCUCUCACGGCAGUGACGGCCGAAGCCCACCACCGGAGAGGCGAACGUCUUCACCGGAAAUCGCCUUUUUCUUUAGAGUGGAGAGAG
This 597-nucleotide long non-coding RNA is filed under the name Brassica napus (rape). RNAcentral's name for it is "long non-coding RNA (BNAP_LNC005776)". Lineage: Eukaryota; Viridiplantae; Streptophyta; Magnoliopsida; Brassicales; Brassicaceae. The record is from RNAcentral.